CUCUGACAUAGACUGGGGGUUGGUAAGGUAGACCUGAGGCUCUGACACAGGCUGGGGGUUGGUAAGGUAGACCUGAGGCUCUGACACAGGCUGGGGGUUGGUAAGGUAGACCUGAGGCCCUGACACAGGCUGGGGGUUGGUAAGGUAGACCUGAGGCUCUGACACAGGCUAGGGGUUGGUAAGGUAGACCUGAGGCUCUGACACAGGCUGGGGGUUGGUAAGGUAGACCUGAGGCUCUGACACAGGCUGGGGGUUGGUAAGGUAGACCUGAGGCUCUGACAUAGGCUGGGGGUUGGUAAGGUAGACCUG
This is a long non-coding RNA of Apodemus sylvaticus (European woodmouse), 309 nucleotides long. RefSeq lists it as uncharacterized. The record is from RefSeq and is a predicted model, not a curated record. The transcript has 4 exons. Lineage: Eukaryota; Metazoa; Chordata; Mammalia; Rodentia; Muridae.